RNAcentral lists this ribosomal RNA (441 nucleotides) under uncultured bacterium. RNAcentral describes it as "bacterial SSU rRNA". It matches the Rfam family "Bacterial small subunit ribosomal RNA", at positions 958 to 1400 of the family's 1533-position model. The record is from RNAcentral.
AACGCGAAGAACCUUACCUGGGUUUGACAUCCUCUGACAUCCGUAGAGAUACGGCUUCUGUAGCAAUACAGCAGAGAGACAGGUGCUGCAUGGCUGUCGUCAGCUCGUGUGGUGACAUGUUGGGUUAAGUCCCGCAACGAGCGCAACCCUUGUCCUUAGUUGCCAGCAUUAAGUUGGGCUCUCUAAGGAGACUGCCGUGGUUAACACGGAGGAAGGUGGGGAUGACGUCAAGUCCUCAUGGCCUUUAUAUCCAGGGCGACACACGUGAUACAAUGGACGGUACAGAGGGAAGCGAAACCGCGAGGUGGAGCCAAUCUCAAAAAGCCGUUCUCAGUUCGGAUUGGAGUCUGCAAUUCGACUCCAUGAAGUUGGAAUCGCUAGUAAUCGCGGAUCAGCACGCCGCGGUGAAUACGUUCCCGGGCCUUGUACACACCGUGUCGA